RNAcentral lists this ribosomal RNA (439 nucleotides) under uncultured bacterium. RNAcentral's name for it is "partial 16S ribosomal RNA". It matches the Rfam family "Bacterial small subunit ribosomal RNA", at positions 339 to 795 of the family's 1533-position model. The record is from RNAcentral.
CUACGGGUGGCAGCAGUGGGGAAUAUUGCACAAUGGGGGAAACCCUGAUGCAGCAACGCCGCGUGGAGGAUGACGCAUUUCGGUGUGUAAACUCCUUUUAUAUCCCAAGAUAAUGACGGUAGGAUAUGAAUAAGCACCGGCUAACUCCGUGCCAGCAGCCGCGGUAAUACGGAGGGUGCAAGCGUUACUCGGAAUCACUGGGCGUAAAGGAUGCGUAGGCUGGAAAUCAAGUCAGGAGUGAAAUCCAACGGCUCAACCGUUGAACUGCUUCUGAAACUGGUUACCUAGAAUAUGGGAGAGGUAGAUGGAAUUAGUGGUGUAGGGGUAAAAUCCGUAGAGAUCACUAGGAAUACCGAUUGCGAAGGCGAUCUACUGGAACAUAAUUGACGCUGAGGCAUGAAAGCGUGGGGAGCAAACAGGAUUAGAUACCCCAGUAGUC